GAAUGGAGAGAGACAGCGAGACGUGGAUAGAGGAAAGGAGAAGCGGUCACAGAGGAGAAGAGACGAAAGGAUCGGCGUCUGAAACUGUGUAAACGUGGAAGGAACGAUUUCCCCGUAUUCAAUUAGUACAAGUGUUAUGAUUUAGCACGCAUAGAUGAACUUCAUCUAUAUAGCGAAACGACGUGCAAGAAAGAUUAUAAUGUGUACAAAUUACAAAAUCACAAGUAUAGAAAUAUAAUUUAUUGAUAUUAUCAAUUUAGGUAAUUGCUG
This 270-nucleotide long non-coding RNA is filed under the name Olea europaea (common olive). RNAcentral describes it as "long non-coding RNA (OEUR_LNC013914)". The record is from RNAcentral. Lineage: Eukaryota; Viridiplantae; Streptophyta; Magnoliopsida; Lamiales; Oleaceae.